GGGUGGUAAUGCCGGAUGCUCCGGUUGGAUGCAUGUCCUUCCGGGAAAGAUUCUAUCGGUAUGGGAUGGGGUCGCGUCCUAUCAGCUUGAUGGCGGGGUAACGGCCCACCAUGGCUUCGACGGGUAGCCGGCCUGAGAGGGCGACCGGCCACAUUGGGACUGAGAUACGGCCCAGACUCCUACGGGAGGCAGCAGUGGGGAAUAUUGCACAAUGGGCGCAAGCCUGAUGCAGCGACGCCGCGUGCGGGAUGGAGGCCUUCGGGUUGUAAACCGCUUUUGAUCGGGAGCAAGCCCUUCGGGGUGAGUGUACCUUUCGAAUAAGCACCGGCUAACUACGUGCCAGCAGCCGCGGUAAUACGUAGGGUGCAAGCGUUAUCCGGAAUUAUUGGGCGUAAAGGGCUCGUAGGCGGUUCGUCGCGUCCGGUGUGAAAGCCCAUCGCUUAACGGUGGGUCUGCGCCGGGUACGGGCGGGCUGGAGUGCGGUAGGGGAGACUGGAAUUCCCGGUGUAACGGUGGAAUGUGUAGAUAUCGGGAAA
RNAcentral lists this ribosomal RNA (536 nucleotides) under Bifidobacterium dentium. RNAcentral's name for it is "bacterial SSU rRNA". It matches the Rfam family "Bacterial small subunit ribosomal RNA", at positions 158 to 704 of the family's 1533-position model. Lineage: Bacteria; Bacillati; Actinomycetota; Actinomycetes; Bifidobacteriales; Bifidobacteriaceae. The record is from RNAcentral.